Molecule: ribosomal RNA, 468 nt
Filed under: uncultured bacterium
Lineage: Bacteria
Description: partial 16S ribosomal RNA
Rfam family: Bacterial small subunit ribosomal RNA
Source: RNAcentral
GACGAACGCUGGCGGCGUGCUUAACACAUGCAAGUCGAACGGAAAGGCCCUGCUUUUGUGGGGUGCUCGAGUGGCGAACGGGUGAGUAACACGUGAGUAACCUGCCCUUGACUUUGGGAUAACUUCAGGAAACUGGGGCUAAUACCGGAUAGGAGCUCCUGCUGCAUGGUGGGGGUUGGAAAGUUUCGGCGGUUGGGGAUGGACUCGCGGCUUAUCAGCUUGUUGGUGGGGUAGGGGCUUACCAAGGCUUUGACGGGUAGCCGGCCUGAGAGGGUGACCGGCCACAUUGGGACUGAGAUACGGCCCAGACUCCUACGGGAGGCAGCAGUGGGGAAUAUUGCACAAUGGGCGGAAGCCUGAUGCAGCAACGCCGAGUGCGGGAUGACGGCCUUCGGGUUGUAAACCGCUUUCGCCUGUGACGAAGCGUGAGUGACGGUAAUGGGUAAAGAAGCACCGGCUAACUACGUG